AGCCCCGGAGCCCUUAAAGGCUCAUCUUUAAAUUUGCAUUUUAACGUGAAACACCUCAGGACU
This 63-nucleotide transfer RNA is filed under the name Anolis neblininus. Its description in RNAcentral is "tRNA-Cys". The record is from RNAcentral. Lineage: Eukaryota; Metazoa; Chordata; Lepidosauria; Squamata; Anolidae.